AUUGAACGCUGGCGACAGGCCUAACACAUGCAAGUCGAGCGGAUGAAGGGAGCUUGCUCCUGGAUUCAGCGGCGGACGGGUGAGUAAUGCCUAGGAAUCUGUCUGGUAGUGGGGGAUAACGUCCGGAAACGGGCGCUAAUACCGCAUACGUCCUGAGGGAGAAAGUGGGGGAUCUUCGGACCUCACGCUAUCAGAUGAGCCUAGGUCGGAUUAGCUAGUUGGUGGGGUAAAGGCCUACCAAGGCGACGAUCCGUAACUGGUCUGAGAGGAUGAUCAGUCACACUGGAACUGAGACACGGUCCAGACUCCUACGGGAGGCAGCAGUGGGGAAUAUUGGACAAUGGGCGAAAGCCUGAUCCAGCCAUGCCGCGUGUGUGAAGAAGGUCUUCGGAUUGUAAAGCACUUUAAGUUGGGAGGAAGGGCAGUAAGUUAAUACCUUGCUGUUUUGACGUUACCAACAGAAUAAGCACCGGCUAACUUCGUG
Molecule: ribosomal RNA, 484 nt
Filed under: uncultured bacterium
Lineage: Bacteria
Description: partial 16S ribosomal RNA
Rfam family: Bacterial small subunit ribosomal RNA
Source: RNAcentral